Molecule: long non-coding RNA, 4182 nt
Organism: Balaenoptera acutorostrata (minke whale)
Lineage: Eukaryota; Metazoa; Chordata; Mammalia; Artiodactyla; Balaenopteridae
Exons: 2
Source: RefSeq, a predicted model, not a curated record
UCCGCUGUGUAAGGACCAGUGUUAGAAACAUAUUUUCUGGCUGGAGCAGGGUCUGGUUGGGUGAGAGACCACCAGCUAAAGCUAAGAAAGUGUUAUUUCAUGUAGGUAUCAAGGUAGGUCUCGAGGUAGGUCUGAAAGUAAACCAGGUGGAUUGGGAGGGGAAUCUGAGCCGAGGGGCUAGGGGACGAAGGGCACAGAACUGAGAAAGCCCAUGGGGCUUUCAGGGAGAAUCUGAGUGAGUCCAUGCAGCUAGAUGAAUAAAAACAGAUUCAGAUACCUUCAGAAUAGAUCUUCUCAGACAGGUGCACCUGUGUUCUCGCACUUAAGUCCAGAAAGCAUCUACUGUCAAUUGAUUCAUUUAAUAUUUGGUGGUGGUUUUGUACUGUGAAUGUCUGCUGUAAUACUGACUGGCUUAAUUAUAACUUGGAAGUUAAUUGAAGAAUUUGAAAUUUGUCUUUGUGAAUCUGUGGCUUCUAAUUUUAUUCUGGAACACCUAGACCAAAAACUAUACUUGCCAAGAUGUUUAAAGGAUAACAAGUAAGAUUCAUUCAGGGAUUUCAACAUGCCAGGUACUGUUCUAAAUGCCUUAUGUACGUUUAUUCAUUGAAUGCUCACAACAGCUCCAUGAGGACUUGGAGAAAUGAGUGGUUGAAAAGGCUGCCCGUGGUCACACGGUAGUAAGUGGUAGAAGCAGGAUUUGAACCCCAGGCAUUUGGCUCCACGACUGGCACUCUUCAGCUCUACCUUCUAAUGCCUCUUAAUUAAGAUACGGUUUUAGUGCUCCUGUUUUCUGUGAAGACCAGUUAGGUCAAAAGAAACUGCAGCACAUUUUUCUUUGUUAUGUAAAAGAGAAAAAGCCCCCAUAGCACUCCAGUUUUAUGAAAGGAUACCUGAGAGACGUAACUUCUGUAACAAUUUAGAACAUACUUAGAGCCCGCUCUCCAGCCCUUUCAUAACAAGGGCAAGUACAGAUCCCAAGUAGAGGUGACAUCUACUAGUAACUCCUUUCUUUUUUGUUUUUGUUUCCAACCUUAUCUCCCAAACCGAGCUCGUCUAUCUAGAAGGCGGUUCCUUUCCCGUCAUCCCUCUUUGCCCCAGAGGCACCUGCCCACUCUCAUCAGGCUUGAAGCCCAGCUGUCCUCUUGUGCUCUUCCUCCCUUGGAGCGUUUACCGAGGUCCUUCCUCCUGUGGAUGCUGGGCACUCGGGAUAAAACAAUAAGAAGAUUUACGUACUGCCUUUGAGAUGCUCAGAAUCUCCGAGAUGUCAGAAGCCAGACACAGAAAUGAUUUCAGUAGGAAGAGAUCAACUGUAUUCUUGAGGUCAUCCUCUUCCCAGGCCACCUGUCCUCGCUGUCCAUGACCAUUCAUCUUUCAGAGAUGCGGGUCUUCCCCAUCGUCCCAUGUUCAGAAUCCUCGCCCGUUUCCUGUAAGCUGAAGUCUGGAGUCCCCCGUUGGCAUUUAGACCCUGGCCACCCCAUUUCCACCUUGCUUCUCCUGUACUCCCUGGCGGGAACUGCCAGCAGCAGCCGGGCUGGCCUCCUUUGCCCCUGCAGUCAUCCUGCCAGCAGCCCACGGAGUCCCCUUUCCAGACGCCUUGGUCCUUUUCCUCUGCCUCUCCAGCUUCUGCUCAUCUCGUCAGUAUUGUGUUCAGGGCUGGCCUCUUCUCGGGGAGGCUUUGCCAGCCUCUACCGGUCUCUCCGUCCUGCACAUCCUUAAGAGCACUUGUGCGUGUGCUUGGGAGCUCACCGUCCCGUCUCACCUUGUAGAGAGGAGAGAGCACGAGCUUUACAUCAUCAGAUGGUCCUGGACGAGACGAUCUGUCUACUCCUGGACGAGCCUUCUGCCGUGAACGAGUUUCUUAACCGCUCUGAGUCUCAGACGCCUCGUUGCACAGCAGCCACGAGGCUGUGAGGUGCCACGCGUGGUGACUUGACCCACGGGCAGAAGAGUUCACCUUUAAGUUCAGAGCGGUAAAUUCACUGGUAAAGUGUAAUGAAAGAACUGGAAGUGGAAGGGCACGAUCUUGACACAGGGGUCACUAGUGAUAGUCCAGUGCGUGUGGCCCCUCCGUGUUACCUACCCCACCAUUAGAAUGAGAGGUUCGUGCUCUCAUGGAAUUUGCAUUAGGACCAAAGAGGUUCUGUCAAACAGCUGGUUGUAUAUGUGUUAUGUAAUUGCGGUGUAAUUCUUUUCUGACCAUUCUGCAUAAGUAGAUUUUCACCCAGCAAGGCCUACGCUGACUUUCAGUUCUCAGCUUAAACGUCACUGAAACUCUCCUUGCUUCCUCAGCCUCCUGGUGUCCAUCUAUCCAACAACUCGUGGUGCACAUAUUACUUAUUUUAGCCAUUGCUCUUUCCAGACACUACUCUGUUCCAGGCAGGGUGUCCAUAUGCCCUGGGCUUCUUCCAUGGUCUGUGUUGUUUCCCUUUCAGUGUGGUUGCUUGUGUGAUCGCUGGCUUCCCCUCUCACCUCUGAGCCAAGCCCAUUUCCGUCUUGUUCAGUGCCCCCCGGUGCCUGGCAUGGAGGGGCGCUCAGCACAGAUUUGUUAACGAGGAAUCGAACGAAGGCCAGGAUGGAGGCUGUACCAUUGAAAGCACUGCCUAGACUUUGUGCGUAAUUGACUGUGGGAGAUGCUACAAAGGCGAGUCCUGGGCUUGGGGUGUGGCUGGUAGGGAGAUGGGGGAUGGUCACCAUCAUCAAUAGAGAAGUCAGGAAAUGAAACUGGUUUCGGUGGGAGAAUGGUCAACUCGAUUAGACUGAUUUAUUAUAGUGGGGUGGUCAAGUGGAAUUGUUUAUUGGCGAUGUUGCACUCAGAAGGUCGGUGUACACAUGGUGUAUUUUGGAGUUCUCUUUGGAACUGAUCAUGGACACCCUGGGCCUUUGUGGAUGGUCAGGGAAGAGUGGAGCACAAGCUUGGUGCCUGGGAGGGGAGGAACAUACAGGGACUAAACAUCACAUUAACCAAGUGUUCCACUGCCACACAGAUGAAUUGGAUCCAAGCCUUCCCUCCUGAGUUAAAGAACAACUAACUGGUCACCAUCUUCCAUGAAAUAAUCUUCCUUCUACCUAAGAAAUGUUCUAUGUUGUAUUUUGGGCAUCAUAAAAUUUAACCAUUCAUUUCAACAUGUAUUUAUUGAGUACCUGCUGUGUAGCAGGUACUUCUCCAGGUGCAGGGAGUGCAAUAAUAAAAUGUAAUCCUUGACUUUAUGAUGGUGAGAAUUAUACAAAAACCAAGUUUAUAUGUAUCAAACGGUGAUAAUUGCUCUAGAGAAAAAUAAAGUAGAAGAAUAAUUUAGGUGCACAGUCCUUUACUCAAAAUCCUUGAGACAAGAUGUAUUUGGAGCAUGGGAACAUAAUAUGACACAUACACCAUCUAUUAACAUCCUUAGUGGUGUUACAAGUAGCCUCAUGUUAGCUUAGGUCAACUUUUGUCACCUAAUGAGUUAACAGAAUUAAGUUUUGCUAUUAAAUAUAAUAAGUUAGGUAAUAGCUUAAUUUCCAAGUUGGUUUCAGUUGUUUCGGUUGUUUUAGAUUUUCAGAGCUAACAUGUAGUGCUUACGCUAAGUUCCAGGCGUUCUUCUAAAAGCACAGUCCAUACACACACAUACAUUCAUGUAAUCCUCGUAACAACCCUACAACAGAGCUGUUAGUCCCGUUUACAGAUAGGAGAACUGAAGCACAGAGAGGGUCAACAGGCGCCCAGGAACCCGGUAACAUCCUCAGGCACUAUGCUAUCCCUGUGUCAGGAAGGGAGGCUGCUCAUGAAUAGGAUGGUCAGGGAGGGCCUCAGUGACGUGGUGACAUUUAAGCAGAGACCUGAAAGAAGCGAGGGAGCCGUGUGGAUGGAGAGCUGGGGGAAAGCGUUCUGGGCAGAGAGGCGGAGUUGGGGAUAUUCUGGUUUGUGAUUGAGAAACCAAGUGGGUAUUGCUGGAGUGAGUGGGAUUCGAGGGCCUGGGAGGUCAGAGCAGUAACUGGCAUUUUGGUCAAGAUAAUCCUUUGUUGUGCAGGAUUGUCCUGUGCGUUAUAGGGUGUUUAGUAACCUGGGCCUCGCAUACGAACCGCCAUGUCACGGUGAAAGCCAUCCAGAUGCCCCAUGCCUUUCUAAAUAUCCCCUAGAUUGUCUCUCCUGGUGGAUGAUAUUGUCGUCUUUGAGAAUAAAUUCAGAACUCUGUGAACAACUGA